ACAAUGGUAGUACGGCCAUUU
RNAcentral lists this microRNA (21 nucleotides) under Chlamydomonas reinhardtii. RNAcentral's name for it is "cre-miR911". Its record names the gene cre-miR911. Lineage: Eukaryota; Viridiplantae; Chlorophyta; Chlorophyceae; Chlamydomonadales; Chlamydomonadaceae. The record is from miRBase by way of RNAcentral.